RNAcentral lists this ribosomal RNA (252 nucleotides) under uncultured soil bacterium. RNAcentral describes it as "partial 16S ribosomal RNA". It matches the Rfam family "Bacterial small subunit ribosomal RNA", at positions 26 to 287 of the family's 1533-position model. The record is from RNAcentral.
AGGAUGAACGCUGGCGGCGUGCUUAACACAUGCAAGUCAAGGGGGCCCAGCAAUGGGUAACCGGCGAACGGGUGCGUAACACGUGAGCAACCUACCGAAUUGUGGGGGAUAGCCGGCCCAACGGCCGGGUAAUACCGCAUACGCUCGAGACGAGGCAUUUCGACUCGAGGAAACUUACGGGACAUUUCGAGGGGCUCGCGGCCUAUCAGCUAGUUGGUGAGGUAACGGCUCACCAAGGCGACGACGGGUAGC